UACGUAGGGUGCAAGCGUUAAUCGGAAUUACUGGGCGUAAAGCGUGCGUAGGUGGUUCGUUGUGUCUGUGGUGAAAGCCCCGGGCUUAACCUGGGAAUGGCCAUGGAAACUGGCGAGCUGGAGUGUGGCAGAGGGGGGUGGAAUUCCGCGUGUAGCAGUGAAAUGCGUAGAGAUGCGGAGGAACACCGAUGGCGAAGGCAGCCCCCUGGGCUAACACUGACGCUGAGGCACGAAAGCGUGGGGAGCAAACAGG
Molecule: ribosomal RNA, 253 nt
Filed under: uncultured bacterium
Lineage: Bacteria
Description: partial 16S ribosomal RNA
Rfam family: Bacterial small subunit ribosomal RNA
Source: RNAcentral